Tarenaya hassleriana is the source of this 2650-nucleotide RNA transcript. It is a transcript of the gene named bromodomain testis-specific protein-like, with no coding region annotated. NCBI's taxonomy places the organism in Eukaryota, Viridiplantae, Streptophyta, Magnoliopsida, Brassicales, Cleomaceae. The transcript is spliced from 9 exons. The record is from RefSeq and is a predicted model, not a curated record.
UUCAAACAGGAGCUUUUAGCCCUUUCGUCUUCUUCGUCUUUCCUUCUUCGCCAAAACCGUGGAGAUCUCCAGCCUUUGCAUUUUGGGCACUGCGAUUUCGCAUUCGAUCUUCUUCGUUCGAUCUCUGUUCAUGGAAGAUAACGGUGUCAGGAGAACUGAGAUCGAGAUCCUUGGGCUCAGUCUUAUCGACGUCUCCUCCGAAGACGAUAGCCUCCUCUUUUCGUCGAUCCUCGAUCCCGGCAGCAACGAAUUUUUGGAGACUGAUAAGGAUGACAAAGUUCUUGGUUUCCUGAGAGAUGAACCUGAUUAUGAUGAAGAGAUUCCAGUCUCUACCUUAGAAGAGAAAGAACAGGUGCUUCAACCUCAUGAAUCACCCGAACCUGAGAAGUUGUUGAAAAGUGGAAAAUGUAACUUGCGCAAAAGUCUUGCCUGGGACAAUGCCUUCUUCACGAGUGCAGGUGUCCUUGAGCCUGAGGAACUGUCCAGCAUGAUAGAAAGCAAUCACAAGGGUGAAAGGCAAAAUUUGUCAACCAUCCAAGAGGAUCUGCAAAGGUCAACAGAAUCCAUAUCUACAUUUCAAAGUGAUUGCACUGUGGAGAACAGUCAGGAGUUUGUUUUCUUUGAAGAUUUAAGAGAAUCGAUCCAACGUUCGGCUAAAGCAUCUGGUGCUUCCACACCAGACAAAAGCAAAGAACUAGUGGCAAUUGAAGCAGCAACUGGCCGAACUUCAUGUAUGGCGAAGGGCCCUCUCUCUCAGGAAAAGAUGAAACCCAAAGGAAGUCAUAAGAAGCAAAGUGUUCGGGCACAAGGUUUGGCGAAGACAACAACAAAGCAGCCUGUUGUUGCCGCGAGAGGAUUGAAUACAUCGGUCCCCAAGGUAUUCGAUAAAGUCAGGCCCAUGCCAACAACAUCAAUGAAGAGAGCCUCCUUAGAUGUUAACAAAACCAAACACGAAAAGGAUUCAAAGUUAGCUGGGGGUAAACAUCACCUAGGUUCCAGAAUAUCCAUUUCUGCAAGUGCUAGACCCGUAGUAGUGUCUUCUAAAUCUUCUUUACGUUCUUCGGUUGCCUCUACAAAUGAAUUGGCAUCUUCUUGCUCUUCAUUAGAGAGCUGUGCUGGUGCUAGUGCUUCAUCUAGCUUUUCUCAAAAAUCUUCCAUAAAUUUGGUACGGAAGAAGAAUGAUUUGAGUUCUUUAGCAAAUAGAACCAGACCUAAAGCUGCACCUAGAAAUGUGACGCAGCCUAGAGUUCCACCCCUCUCAACUAAGGGAACGUCCAAGUCCAAGCUUUCGCCUAAUGUAUCACCUGCUAGCUCUUUUAGUGACCGGUCAUCGGAAUCAUCACGAGCUUCUACACCAAAUAAAAUGCCUAAAGGCAUCCAGAGAACCGUCUCUGGUGCAAAGGGCUCUGCAAGCAGCGAUAGACCGCAAAGUUUGAAGCGUCAUGACAAUUCUAAGGAUGAAUCUUUUGCCCGAUGUGACUGUAAGGUGGAUGAAAUCAUCCAUGAAGGUACAGAACGAGUUUCAGAAGGUAAUGGUGGUUUGCUUCAUCCAGCUUCAAUGAAGCCGUCGGGCCUCCGUGUGCCAUCACCAAAAAUCGGCUUCUUUGAUGGAGUGAGAAGUGUUGCAAGGACUCACACGGGAAACAUUCAACCCCGUUCAAGUGUGUUAAGCAGAUUGUCCAAGCAUGGAGUUAAUACUCCGAAUGGAUCAGAGGCCAAAACAAAGUAUGAAAAGCUUCAGCCUGCAAGUGCAAGGUCUCCUUUACAAGAAUCUUCAAACCCUAAAACAAAGACCAGUGGCGUUUCCAGGAGUCUCAGGGUCGUGUCUGUCUCAUCACCAAAGGCACAGAAGAAAAUGUAUUCGAAAAUUAGUGCAGAAGAGCAAUUGAAAGGUGAGGCCGAUAAUGAAGAAAAAAGUGCAGGAGAGAAUAGUUCAUCAUGGGUAAUGCAUAAAGAAGGCCGCAGAAAGCAGAGCAGCACUGGUCUUGCGGAAGAAACAGUGAAAGCAAGUCCUGUUAAUGGAAAACCCAAUUCCUCUUUUGAUCAGAAUUCUGCUUCCGGCGAUGAGAACACAAUCUCAUCAUGUAUUGAGUUACCUGAAGAGGGAGAAAUUUCAGACAAGCAGAGUGACAAAUCAGCAAAACCGGCCAGAGACAUGGGGUCGGUCUGGACAUUAGAGAUGGAAAAUGAGUUUACUGGAACGCUUCUGAACUGAAAGCAGCAACCGGAGAAGAUGGGUCAGAUGAUAUAACAGCAUCUCUUAAAGGAAGAAGAAAAACAAUCUUUGUUCUAUAUAUAUAUAUAUAUAUAUCCGAAAACCAAAAAAUGAAAAAAUGUCAAAGCUCUAUGGAACUUGACCGGACAAGGGACAACUAUGGAUCUCAUGGAGAGUUAGAUCCUUGUGUGUAGAGUUUCGUUCUCUGGUAUGAAUCUUGCUGUAGGGUAAUAGUUCAUAACUUCCGUACAUUGGAAUAUAACUGUGCUAUAUACAUAUAUGUAUGUAUAUAUGUAUGUAUGUAUGUAUAGGGCAGGGACUAGAAGAUCACAGGCCAACAACUUGUCCAGGUUUUUGUGAUUUGCCAUUUGAGUUCAUGUCUCUGUCUGGAAACGUAAUCUCUCCUUUGCAUUUGUGUAGUUCAGCCUCUGCGUA